UACGGAGGGGGCUAGCGUUGUUCGGAAUUACUGGGCGUAAAGCGCACGUAGGCGGCUUUGCAAGUUAGAGGUGAAAGCCCGGGGCUUAACCCCGGAAUUGCCUUUAAAACUGCAUCGCUAGAAUUGUGGAGAGGUAAGUGGAAUUCCGAGUGUAGAGGUGAAAUUCGUAGAUAUUCGGAAGAACACCAGUGGCGAAGGCGACUUACUGGACACAUAUUGACGCUGAGGUGCGAAAGCGUGGGGAGCAAACAGG
This 253-nucleotide ribosomal RNA is filed under the name uncultured bacterium. RNAcentral describes it as "partial 16S ribosomal RNA". It matches the Rfam family "Bacterial small subunit ribosomal RNA", at positions 524 to 776 of the family's 1533-position model. The record is from RNAcentral.